Molecule: transfer RNA, 65 nt
Filed under: Phasianella solida
Lineage: Eukaryota; Metazoa; Mollusca; Gastropoda; Trochida; Phasianellidae
Description: tRNA-Cys
Source: RNAcentral
GACCCUAUAGUUGAAUAAUACAACAUCAAAUUGCAAGUUUGCCGGUGCUUUUAAAGCUAGGGUUU